RNAcentral lists this ribosomal RNA (236 nucleotides) under uncultured Staphylococcus sp. RNAcentral's name for it is "partial 16S ribosomal RNA". It matches the Rfam family "Bacterial small subunit ribosomal RNA", at positions 104 to 334 of the family's 1533-position model. The record is from RNAcentral. Lineage: Bacteria; Bacillati; Bacillota; Bacilli; Caryophanales; Staphylococcaceae.
GGGUGAGUAACACGUGGAUAGCCUACCUAUAAGACUGGGAUAACUUCGGGAAACCGGAGCUAAUACCGGAUAAUAUAUUGAACCGCAUGGUUCAAUAGUGAAAGACGGUUUUGCUGUCACUUAUAGAUGGAUCCGCGCCGCAUUAGCUAGUCGGUAAGGUAACGGCUUACCAAGGCAACGAUGCGUAGCCGACCUGAGAGGGUGAUCGGCCACACUGGAACUGAGACACGGUCCAG